This 234-nucleotide ribosomal RNA is filed under the name uncultured bacterium. Its description in RNAcentral is "partial 16S ribosomal RNA". It matches the Rfam family "Bacterial small subunit ribosomal RNA", at positions 118 to 347 of the family's 1533-position model. The record is from RNAcentral.
UGAGCAACCUGCCCUUGACUCCGGAAUAACAGCUGGAAACAGCUGCUAAUACCGGAUACGACCUCCGAUGGCAUCAUCUGGAGGUGGAAAGCUCCGGCGGUCAAGGAUGGGCUCGCGGCCUAUCAGCUUGUUGGUGAGGUAACGGCUCACCAAGGCUUCGGACGGGUAGCCGGCCUGGAGGAGGGCCGACCGGCCACACGUGGGACUGAGAUACGGCCCAGACUCCGUAGGGAG